Molecule: ribosomal RNA, 425 nt
Filed under: uncultured Pseudomonadota bacterium
Lineage: Bacteria; Pseudomonadati; Pseudomonadota
Description: bacterial SSU rRNA
Rfam family: Bacterial small subunit ribosomal RNA
Source: RNAcentral
GCGGCAUGCCUAACACAUGCAAGUCGAACGAGACCUUCGGGUCUAGUGGCGCACGGGUGCGUAACGCGUGGGAAUCUGCCCUUCGGUUCGGAAUAACUCAGGGAAACUUGAGCUAAUACCGGAUAAUGACUUCGGUCCAAAGAUUUAUCGCCGAGGGAUGAGCCCGCGUAGGAUUAGCUUGUUGGUGAGGUAAAGGCUCACCAAGGCGACGAUCCUUAGCUGGUCUGAGAGGAUGAUCAGCCACACUGGGACUGAGACACGGCCCAGACUCCUACGGGAGGCAGCAGUGGGGAAUAUUGGACAAUGGGCGAAAGCCUGAUCCAGCAAUGCCGCGUGAGUGAUGAAGGCCUUAGGGUUGUAAAGCUCUUUUACCCGGGAUGAUAAUGACAGUACCGGGAGAAUAAGCCCCGGCUAACUCCGUGCCA